CGCAGAAGGAUUUAGAAAUCUUCAAGAAUUUCUGAGGACAGGAGCUCACAUCUGGAAGGAAAAGGAAACCUUUGUGUUAUCAUUGAGAUGAUCAUGAGUACGAAAUUCAUCCAGUUACUGAGAAACUCACAAAAUCUUUCAUCCUAUUUCAUGCUAGAAACAGGAAGAUUGGAAUCGGCCUGGAACAAAGAACUGCACCUAAGCAGACCAGAAGUAAAAUGUCUUCUUCACGGCAUAAGGACAUUUCCACUUUUCUGUGUACCUGUGUGUAUAGAAAUAGAUCAGAGCACAGUUGAAAUUAAUGGAACUGGCAUUAUUUAAGCAACUGGAAUUCCACACUGUAGGAAGGUUUUGAAAAUUGUUUGGUUGUAGAUUUUAUCUUAUCCUUUAGUGUUGUUGUGUGCCUACUGUGAUGUCUUGGUUUUUCUCAUAGACUUAAGUUUGUAAGUUUGAACUGGACUUGUUCGAUUAUAACCACAAAUUGUGUGUGUGUGUGUGUGUAUGCCUGUGUGUAUAUAUAGAAGUCAUUAUGGUAGAUGCACAGAAACUGUGCAGUGAUGUAAAUGUUCAUACUUCACAGAGCCUAUAAUUUUUAUUUUUCAAUUUGUUUUUUCAAAAAUCUCUUCUCGGGGACAACAUCUGAAGGGUAUGUUGCAUGCAUUAAAAAAGAUCAUCUCACAUGUAUUUUAUAGUUUGGGGGAAGAAAAUAUCAUGGGGAGGUCUACCUUCAGUAUCUUUAGUGCUUCCUACCUGGUAACUUGAGUUUUUAAAAGAAGAAACAAAGAGAAAGAAGAUAUGGGAGCGAAUUUAUUCCAAGAAUCUACAAUGACAUUGAAGUUGUUGGAGGAAUGUACUGUACUUAAAACAACCUUCUGUGACACAUUCAAAAAUUUCAUCUGAGCUGGAUGCAGUGGCUUGUUCCUAUAGUCCCAGCACUUUGGGAGGCUGAGGUGGGUGGAUUGCUUGAGCCCAGGAGUUGGAGACCAGUCUGGGAAACAUGGUGAGACCUCAUCUCUACAAAAUACAAAAAAAUUAGCUGGGCAUGGUGGCACGUGAAUGUAGUCUCAGCUACUCAGGAGGCUGAGAUGAGAGGAUCACUUGAAUCCAGGGAGGUCCAGGCUGCAGUGAUCUGAGAUCACACCACUGCACUCCAGCCUCGGUGACAGAGUGAGACCCUGUCCAGGAAAAAAAAAAAGAAAAAAAAAAAAGUUAAUGGCUUUGUGCUUUCGCAGGUGGAAUGAAGAGAACGUCCACCUUAAGGCUUUCAAAGACAGUGAAGCUGGGUACAGUGACACACUCCUGUAAACCUGGGACUUUGGGAAGCUGAGGCAGGAAGAUCGCUUGAGCCUAGGAGUUUGAGACCGGCCUGGGCAGCAUAGCGAGUCCUCAUCUCUAUAAAAAGAAAAAAAAAUGUUACAACACAGUGAAAUUGCAGAAACAGAACACAGCUGCCCUUUUUCAUCAAUGACCUUUUCUUCACGUGGAGGUCAACUCAGUAGGUGAGAAUAAUUAGUAGGUUCAGUAGAAUAAACUCUUUGCAAUUAAUCAGUCAGUGGAAAAUGAUGUUCAGAUGGUGAAAUGUGGAAAUGUUUUAGACAACUGUAUUUUCAGCCUGUGCGUCUCACUCACCAUCUUGUUGGGAUUAACAGUUGAGGGCCAUCAUUGUCUAAACAUGUAGCAUGCAGUUUCCCAUCAGUUUCACCGUGAAUGUGAAAAGGUGAAACUGGUGCUGACGUCGGCAGCAGGUAUCCUAAAAUUGGAAUGACACAGAGGAGAUUAGCAUGGCUCCCUUUGCAAGGAAGAUCCGUAUAUUCAUGCAGCAUUCCAAAUUUUUUUUUUUAAAAAAGGUUAUACUGUGCACUGAGAUGUGGAGCUAGAAGGAAAAGCAAUAGGUCUCAUGUUUGCUGACUAUAAAAAUAAAUCAUAGUAAUAUUAUUGAACAUUCUACUUUAAAAAUUAUUAAUAAAACCAUAAAUGAAACACUUGAGCACAUUUUAAAAAGUACAUAGACCCAUGAGUCCAUAUGCCUAUUUUUAGGUUGUCUGUUUUAUUAUCCAGGAUUUCAUACUCAGAUGAAAAUUAGCAUCAGGAAAGCCUGAAAUGCCUUAAUUGUGACCUGAUAUGCAGGAAAAUGAAAUAUGCAAGCACAUGGAUGACCUCGUUCUUUACGGACAUUGUUAUCAGCCUCUAGCCAUACAGAACAAAUGAGAAAUUAGAAGCAAUUCCAAGAGCGUGUGAUGGUGUGUCGCCCACUUUUCAGCGUUUGAAGUGACACGGGCUACCUGGUAACUGCCCAUGGCGGGGUCAUAGUUUAAAUGGCCCAAUGUCAUGUAGAGGUUACUUUAAUCAAAAUGAGCUAUAAACACGGAACAAUCACUAUAUAUAAUUUUAAAAGAGUUUACCUGGCCAGGCAUGGUGGCUCACGCCUGUAAUCCCAGCACUUUGGGAGGCUGAGGUGGGCGGAUCACCUGAGGUGAGGAGUUCGAGACCAGCCUGGCCAACAUGGCGAAACCCCCAUCUCUACUAAAAUACAGAAAUUAGGUGUGGGGGUGGGCGCCUGUAAUCCCGGCUACUCGGGAGGCUGAAGCGGGAGAAUGGCUUGAACCCGGGAGGCGAGGCUGCGGUGAGCCGAGAUUGUGCCACUGCCCUCUAACCUGGGCGACAGAGCGAGACUCCAUCUCAAAAAAUAAAAAUAAAAAAAAUAAAAA
Molecule: long non-coding RNA, 2708 nt
Filed under: Macaca fascicularis (crab-eating macaque)
Lineage: Eukaryota; Metazoa; Chordata; Mammalia; Primates; Cercopithecidae
Source: RNAcentral